GAUGAACGCUGGCGGCGUGCCUAAUACAUGCAAGUCGAGCGAACAGACGAGGAGCUUGCUCCUCUGACGUUAGCGGCGGACGGGUGAGUAACACGUGGAUAACCUACCUAUAAGACUGGGAUAACUUCGGGAAACCGGAGCUAAUACCGGAUAAUAUAUUGAACCGCAUGGUUCAAUAGUGAAAGACGGUUUUGCUGUCACUUAUAGAUGGAUCCGCGCCGCAUUAGCUGGUUGGUAAGGUAACGGCUUACCAAGGCGACGAUGCGUAGCCGACCUGAGAGGGUGAUCGGCCACACUGGAACUGAGACACGGUCCAGACUCCUACGGGAGGCAGCAGUAGGGAAUCUUCCGCAAUGGGCGAAAGCCUGACGGAGCAACGCCGCGUGAGUGAUGAAGGUCUUCGGAUCGUAAAACUCUGUUAUUAGGGAAGAACAAAUGUGUAAGUAACUAUGCACGUCUUGACGGUACCUAGUCAGAAAGCCACGGCUAACUACGUG
RNAcentral lists this ribosomal RNA (497 nucleotides) under uncultured bacterium. RNAcentral's name for it is "partial 16S ribosomal RNA". It matches the Rfam family "Bacterial small subunit ribosomal RNA", at positions 28 to 507 of the family's 1533-position model. The record is from RNAcentral.